CAUUGAUGCACAAUGAAUGUGGUACUGCAGUUUAAUAAUUAUGGUCCACAAUUUUGUUAAAAAUUUGAGUGAAUAUUUCCAGAAAGUUGAUUGUGGCCAUACCUGUUGGAGUAGUAAAGACAAACGUUCAAAUUGCUCUUCUUGAUGUAACCCCCAAGCUGUAGGCUGCUGUUAUUUUAAGAGGUGGAGACGCAUUAUCUGAAAUGGCUGUUGCAAUGUAUUGAAAUUAAAUUUUAUUAAAAACUCUGGAAAGUGCAGUGGCCUGUUGGACCACCUGGACAGCGAGGCGCGAGAGUUGGAAGUGUUUCCACCAUUACGUCAGAUACUCCUCUGCCGCAGAUUUGGAAGAUUUGCAAUAUUGUGGGUUGUAGAAGGUCCUUCCAACAUAACUUCAGGAACAGUUGCAGAACAAUCACUGGAAGUGUUAAAUGCUACAGAAAGUAGCAUAGUUGUCAGAAUUAGAGGGCCAAAAAUAUUGAUGGGAAAGUCGAACUUCAGCCCUGAGUUUGAAGGUGUUAAUUGCUUGACAUUCUGAAUUAGGCG
Molecule: non-coding RNA, 543 nt
Organism: Procambarus clarkii (red swamp crayfish)
Lineage: Eukaryota; Metazoa; Arthropoda; Malacostraca; Decapoda; Cambaridae
Source: RefSeq, a predicted model, not a curated record